CACUAUCGUUAACUGAAUACAUAGGUUAACGAGGCGAACCGGGGGAACUGAAACAUCUAAGUACCCCGAGGAAAAGAAAUCAACCGAGAUUCCCCCAGUAGCGGCGAGCGAACGGGGAGCAGCCCAGAGUCUGAAUCAGCUUGUGUGUUAGUGGAACGGUCUGGAAAGUCCGACGGUACAGGGUGAUAGUCCCGUACACCAAAAUGCACAGGCUGUGAACUCGAAGAGUAGGGCGGGACACGUGGUAUCCUGUCUGAAUAUGGGGGGACCAUCCUCCAAGGCUAAAUACUCCUGACUGACCGAUAGUGAACCAGUACCGUGAGGGAAAGGCGAAAAGAACCCCGGCGAGGGGAGUGAAAAAGAACCUGAAACCGUGUACGUACAAGCAGUGGGAGCACCUUCGGGUGUGACUGCGUACCUUUUGUAUAAUGGGUCAGCGACUUAUAUUCUGUAGCAAGGUUAACCGUAUAGGGGAGCCGCAGGGAAACCGAGUCUUAACUGGGCGUUAAGUUGCAGGGUAUAGACCCGAAACCCGGUGAUCUAGCCAUGGGCAGGUUGAAGGUUGGGUAACACUAACUGGAGGACCGAACCGACUAAUGUUGAAAAAUUAGCGGAUGACUUGUGGCUGGGGGUGAAAGGCCAAUCAAACCGGGAGAUAGCUGGUUCUCCCCGAAAGCUAUUUAGGUAGCGCCUCGUGAAUUCAUCUUCGGGGGUAGAGCACUGUUUCGGCUAGGGGGUCAUCCCGACUUACCAACCCGAUGCAAACUACGAAUACCGAAGAAUGUUAUCACGGGAGACACACGGCGGGUGCUAACGUCCGUCGUGAAGAGGGAAACAACCCAGACCGCCAGCUAAGGUCCCAAAGUCAUGGUUAAGUGGGAAACGAUGUGGGAAGGCACAGACAGCCAGGAUGUUGGCUUAGAAGCAGCCAUCAUUUAAAGAAAGCGUAAUAGCUCACUGGUCGAGUCGGCCUGCGCGGAAGAUGUAACGGGGCUAAACCAUGCACCGAAGCUGCGGCAGCGACACUAUGUGUUGUUGGGUAGGGGAGCGUUCUGUAAGCCUGCGAAGGUGACCUGUGAGGGUUGCUGGAGGUAUCAGAAGUGCGAAUGCUGACAUAAGUAACGAUAAAGCGGGUGAAAAGCCCGCUCGCCGGAAGACCAAGGGUUCCUGUCCAACGUUAAUCGGGGCAGGGUGAGUCGACCCCUAAGGCGAGGCCGAAAGGCGUAGUCGAUGGGAAACAGGUUAAUAUUCCUGUACUUGGUGUUACUGCGAAGGGGGGACGGAGAAGGCUAUGUUAGCCGGGCGACGGUUGUCCCGGUUUAAGCAUGUAGGCUGGUUGUCCAGGCAAAUCCGGAUAAUCAAGGCUGAGGUGUGAUGACGAGGCACUACGGUGCUGAAGUAACAAAUGCCCUGCUUCCAGGAAAAGCCUCUAAGCAUCAGGUAACAU
Molecule: ribosomal RNA, 1447 nt
Filed under: Klebsiella pneumoniae
Lineage: Bacteria; Pseudomonadati; Pseudomonadota; Gammaproteobacteria; Enterobacterales; Enterobacteriaceae
Description: bacterial LSU rRNA
Rfam family: Bacterial large subunit ribosomal RNA
Source: RNAcentral